UAGUUAAUAGGGAGUCUAGCUUCAAACCCACAUCUGACUGAAUCUAAUUCCACCUACAGCUUUGAAGGCUCAGAAAACAUAACUGCUUGAAAAACUGAGUUAACUCUAUGACUGCCAGGACAAAAGCUUAGGAUUUAGAAAUGAAACAAUGAAUAAGUAGACAUUUUGCUCUCAUUUUGUUAUUUUUUACUUUAUUUUCCAAAUAUGUUUAGGUUAAAGAAAAGAACAUGGGAUUUAGAGUCAAAUAGGCAGGUGUUUUGAUUCUACCCUUGCUAACCCUGUGACCUUUGGACAGCCUACGUUGUCCAGUGGAGGCAGCCUUCCCAUUCCAACGGACAUUUGUGGGAUAUUAGAGACCAAGAAGUGUUAAGAGAUGAUCUUCACAAAAUGCUGAGCUUGUGUGGGUGUCGAACUACAAACAGGAGGAGAUGGAUAUUCACAUGCAGUGGUGGAGGGUUAUGGCUCUCCAGCCUGGAGGAUUGGAGCUUGAGCCAGGUGAACAGUGGGUCCAUUAAAGGGGCAGCUCAGUUCAGCAAGUCAGAGCCUGAACAGGAUGAAAGGGGCAACCCACAAAGAUGAGGACUGAAUUGGAGUUACAGAUCCCAGUUGGUUGGAGAGACCAUUUUCCUGGAGGAUGACCCAGUUUGGGAGUCACAGCCAGAGCUGGGAUAAAAGAUAAUCCACACUCUUUUGGAUAUAAUAUGUAUU
RNAcentral lists this long non-coding RNA (708 nucleotides) under Homo sapiens (human). RNAcentral describes it as "non-protein coding LINC00358:1". The record is from RNAcentral. Lineage: Eukaryota; Metazoa; Chordata; Mammalia; Primates; Hominidae.